Molecule: ribosomal RNA, 753 nt
Filed under: Triticum aestivum (bread wheat)
Lineage: Eukaryota; Viridiplantae; Streptophyta; Magnoliopsida; Poales; Poaceae
Description: partial small subunit ribosomal RNA
Source: RNAcentral
AUGCCGCCGCGUUACGACGGCGCGGCAGACACGACUCCGUUCCUGCUGGCGUAUGAGGAGGCUGUCCUCGAAGUCGGAGGCAACGACAAGAUCAUGGCCAACUGGUUCCCCAUGGCCCUUGCCGGCGAGCCGCGCGCCUGGCUGCUCAACCUCCCGGGAUCCACGGUGGACUCCUGGGGGGAACUCCGCGACCUCUUCACUGCUCGCUACGCGGUGCCGGCGCACCACGCAGUCGCGACCCUGCUGGGCGGCUCUCAAGCACCACCUUCAGACCGCCACGUCAAGCCUUUCCUCCGUCAGAUCGGGGCCACCUCCAAGCGCCCGGGGGCUCCGCCGGGUUGGGCUGCGCCAGAGGCCAACCUCACCUUCGGCUCAGAAGACCACCCCGACUCCACCGCCGGCUCCGGAAUGCUCCCAAUGCUCUACACGCCCACCAUCUGCAACGUGGCCGUUACCAAGACCCUCAUCGACGGCGGUGCCGGCCUCAACUUGCUCUCCGUAGAAGCCUUCAGCCUUCUUCACGUGCCGCUCGAGCGGCUCAGCCUCAGCAAGCCCUUCUCGGGAGUGGGUGGUGGAGCUGCCCACUCUCUGGGGCAGAUCCGCCUCCCUGUCACCUUCGACACACGCGACAACUACCGCACCGAGCUGGUGGACUUCGACAUCGUCCGCAUCGGUCUCCCGUACAAUGCCAUCCUCGGUACCUGGCUCACGCUCAGUUCAUGGAGGGGACUCACCUGGCCUACAACCUCAUGA